Molecule: long non-coding RNA, 520 nt
Organism: Rana temporaria (common frog)
Lineage: Eukaryota; Metazoa; Chordata; Amphibia; Anura; Ranidae
Exons: 3
Source: RefSeq, a predicted model, not a curated record
ACAUAGUGAGCUCUCUGCUUGAUCCAUUCCACCUGUCAUCCCAUCAAGCCUCCUCACGCUGCAGGUGUAUUGCACGCAUUGCUUUGGGACUUGUUUCAGCUGUGAUUGGCCCACCCGAUAUCAUGUGAUGCUUACACGUCACACAUCGGGUUAGGACAGCCUAUUUAAACGGCAUUUUGCUGCAAACUCAGUGCAGAAUGCCGCAGGGUCAUAUGUUCAGUGAGCACUCUUGUCCUUAAUGCUUUGCAGUUCCCCUCCUGGAUCAAGCAGCUGAUUUCUUCUGGCUUUAUACACACUAAGCUUAUUGUGACACUGCCUGCGAUCCUUAUAUAGAUCUUAUACAGGAUCAUGCACAUGACCAUUUUCACCUCGGCGGUUUUCUGUGUUUGUCGCUAGUUGUGGGCAACUCGUGGGUAAGAUAGUGUGGUCUUUAAACUUUGGAACCAUUUUUUACCAUUAUAUGUUGUACCUGAUUUAAGCAAUUGGAAUGUGUAUCAUAUUUUACUGGUUAAUGCUUGUA